GAAGUCGUGGUGUUGCGGUAGCACCUUCGCCUCUCGACGUGAAAGACCUGGGUUCAAACCCGCCUCACUUCU
Molecule: transfer RNA, 72 nt
Filed under: Albula glossodonta (roundjaw bonefish)
Lineage: Eukaryota; Metazoa; Chordata; Actinopteri; Albuliformes; Albulidae
Description: tRNA-OTHER
Source: RNAcentral